This 463-nucleotide unclassified non-coding RNA is filed under the name Zea mays. Its description in RNAcentral is "misc RNA Zm00001eb124700". The record is from RNAcentral. Lineage: Eukaryota; Viridiplantae; Streptophyta; Magnoliopsida; Poales; Poaceae.
GGCCCACUCUCAACAGAGCAAGAUCUAGAACUAGGUGCCCCAGGUCUGCCCCUAGUGGCAGAGGUUGGUCUUUCUGGUAGCGAUGUCCUUAGGUUUGGAGGUGCAUCAAGAGAGAAACCAGGCAUUUCAGAUGGUUUCCAUGGUCUUGAUUUGACAGUAGGGGAGCUGCCUCUUGAAGGUGUUGGCGCUGCAGUUUUUGCUGGUGAAGAACCUUUGGGCAUUGUCGAACCUGGUUUGGAGAUUGAGGACGAUCUAACUGGUGCAGCUAAGUUACCAUGCUGGGCCGAAGGGGCAGAAGGUCGCCUUGUUGGAGUUGAUGCCCUUGAUGUAGGCUUGCUUUGUGCUGGUAUGGAGGGUCUGGAUGAUGGUGUUGUUGACCUGGUAGCAGGUAUUGAUGACCUUGAAGUAGGUGUGGAUGACCUACUAGCAGGGGCAGAUGCUCUGCCUAUAGGAGCUGAAGUCC